ACGGGGCUAAACCAUGCACCGAAGCUGCGGCAGCGACGCUGAUGCGUUGUUGGGUAGGGGAGCGUUCUGUAAGCCUGCGAAGGUGUGCUGUGAGGCAUGCUGGAGGUAUCAGAAGUGCGAAUGCUGACAUAAGUAACGAUAAAGCGGGUGAAAAGCCCGCUCGCCGGAAGACCAAGGGUUCCUGUCCAACGUUAAUCGGGGCAGGGUGAGUCGACCCCUAAGGCGAGGCCGAAAGGCGUAGUCGAUGGGAAACAGGUUAAUAUUCCUGUACUUGGUGUUACUGCGAAGGGGGGACGGAGAAGGCUAUGUUGGCCGGGCGACGGUUGUCCCGGUUUAAGCGUGUAGGCUGGUUUUCCAGGCAAAUCCGGAAAAUCAAGGCUGAGGCGUGAUGACGAGGCACUGCGGUGCUGAAGCAACAAAUGCCCUGCUUCCAGGAAAAGCCUCUAAGCAUCAGGUAACAUCAAAUCGUACCCCAAACCGACACAGGUGGUCAGGUAGAGAAUACCAAGGCGCUUGAGAGAACUCGGGUGAAGGAACUAGGCAAAAUGGUGCCGUAACUUCGGGAGAAGGCACGCUGAUAUGUAGGUGAAGUCCCUCGCGGAUGGAGCUGAAAUCAGUCGAAGAUACCAGCUGGCUGCAACUGUUUAUUAAAAACACAGCACUGUGCAAACACGAAAGUGGACGUAUACGGUGUGACGCCUGCCCGGUGCCGGAAGGUUAAUUGAUGGGGUUAGCGCAAGCGAAGCUCUUGAUCGAAGCCCCGGUAAACGGCGGCCGUAACUAUAACGGUCCUAAGGUAGCGAAAUUCCUUGUCGGGUAAGUUCCGACCUGCACGAAUGGCGUAAUGAUGGCCAGGCUGUCUCCACCCGAGACUCAGUGAAAUUGAACUCGCUGUGAAGAUGCAGUGUACCCGCGGCAAGACGGAAAGACCCCGUGAACCUUUACUAUAGCUUGACACUGAACAUUGAGCCUUGAUGUGUAGGAUAGGUGGGAGGCUUUGAAGUGUGGACGCCAGUCUGCAUGGAGCCGACCUUGAAAUACCACCCUUUAAUGUUUGAUGUUCUAACGUUGACCCGUAAUCCGGGUUGCGGACAGUGUCUGGUGGGUAGUUUGACUGGGGCGGUCUCCUCCUAAAGAGUAACGGAGGAGCACGAAGGUUGGCUAAUCCUGGUCGGACAUCAGGAGGUUAGUGCAAUGGCAUAAGCCAGCUUGACUGCGAGCGUGACGGCGCGAGCAGGUGCGAAAGCAGGUCAUAGUGAUCCGGUGGUUCUGAAUGGAAGGGCCAUCGCUCAACGGAUAAAAGGUACUCCGGGGAUAACAGGCUGAUACCGCCCAAGAGUUCAUAUCGACGGCGGUGUUUGGCACCUCGAUGUCGGCUCAUCACAUCCUGGGGCUGAAGUAGGUCCCAAGGGUAUGGCUGUUCGCCAUUUAAAGUGGUACGCGAGCUGGGUUUAGAACGUCGUGAGACAGUUCGGUCCCUAUCUGCCGUGGGCGCUGGAGAACUGAGGGGGGCUGCUCCUAGUACGAGAGGACCGGAGUGGACGCAUCACUGGUGUUCGGGUUGUCAUGCCAAUGGCACUGCCCGGUAGCUAAAUGCGGAAGAGAUAAGUGCUGAAAGCAUCUAAGCACGAAACUUGCCCCGAGAUGAGUUCUCCCUGACUCCUUGAGAGUCCUGAAGGAACGUUGAAGACGACGACGUUGAUAGGCCGGGUGUGUAAGCGCAGCGAUGCGUUGAGCUAACCGGUACUAAUGAACCGUGAGG
Molecule: ribosomal RNA, 1762 nt
Filed under: Escherichia coli
Lineage: Bacteria; Pseudomonadati; Pseudomonadota; Gammaproteobacteria; Enterobacterales; Enterobacteriaceae
Description: partial 23S ribosomal RNA
Rfam family: Bacterial large subunit ribosomal RNA
Source: RNAcentral